This 260-nucleotide ribosomal RNA is filed under the name uncultured prokaryote. Its description in RNAcentral is "partial 16S ribosomal RNA". It matches the Rfam family "Bacterial small subunit ribosomal RNA", at positions 524 to 782 of the family's 1533-position model. The record is from RNAcentral.
UACGUAGGGUGCGAGCGUUGUCCGGAAUUACUGGGCGUAAAGAGCUCGUAGGUGGUUUGUCACGUCGUCUGUGAAAUUCCGGGGCUUAACCUCGGGCGUGCAGGCGAUACGGGCAAUACUUGAGUGCUGUAGGGGAGACUGGAAUUCCUGGUGUAGCGGUGAAAUGCGCAGAUAUCAGGAGGAACACCAAUGGCGAAGGCAGGUCUCUGGGCCGCUACUGACGCUGAGGAGCGAAAGCAUGGGUAGCGAACAGGAUUAGA